GAUGAUCGCUAGCGGCGUGCCUAAUGCAUGCAAGUCGAACGGGAACCUUUGGAUUAAUCUAAAGGGGAGAGUGGCGAACGGGUGAGUAACACGUUGGUGACCUGCCCCAGAGAGGGGGAUAACCAUUGGAAACGAUGGCUAAUACCCCGGAUGUCCCUAUUGUUAGAGAGUAGUGACCAAAGCUCCGGCGCUCUGGGAGGGCCUGCGGCCCAUCAGCUAGUUGGUAGGGUAACGGCCUACCAAGGCGAAGACGGGUACGGGGCGUGAGAGCGUCGACCCCCCACACUGGUACUGACACACGGACCAGAUACCGUACGGGUAGCAGCAGCAAGGAAUAUUCGCCCAAUGGAACGAAAGUCUGAGGCAGCAACGCCGCGUGGAGGAUGAAGGCCGUUCGGGUUAGUAAACUUCCUUUUCUGGGGGAAGAGAAAGGACGGUACCCCAGGAAUAAGUCUCGGCUAACUACGUG
This 469-nucleotide ribosomal RNA is filed under the name uncultured bacterium. RNAcentral's name for it is "bacterial SSU rRNA". It matches the Rfam family "Bacterial small subunit ribosomal RNA", at positions 28 to 507 of the family's 1533-position model. The record is from RNAcentral.